RNAcentral lists this ribosomal RNA (301 nucleotides) under uncultured bacterium. RNAcentral describes it as "partial 16S ribosomal RNA". It matches the Rfam family "Bacterial small subunit ribosomal RNA", at positions 509 to 807 of the family's 1533-position model. The record is from RNAcentral.
CAGUAGCCGCGGGAAAACGGAGGGUGCAAGCGUUAAUCGGAUUUACUGGGCGUAAAGCGUGCGUAGGCGGCUUCUUAAGUCGGAUGUGAAAUCCCUGAGCUUAACUUAGGAAUUGCAUUCGAUACUGGGAAGCUAGAGUAUGGGAGAGGAUGGUAGAAUUCCAGGUGUAGCGGUGAAAUGCGUAGAGAUCUGGAGGAAUACCGAUGGCGAGGGCAGCCAUCUGGCCUAAUACUGACGCUGAGGUACGAAAGCAUGGGGAGCAAACAGGAUUAGAUACCCCUGUAGUCCCUGUCUCUUAUAC